This 98-nucleotide microRNA precursor is filed under the name Loxodonta africana (African savanna elephant). RNAcentral describes it as "mir-544 microRNA precursor family". It matches the Rfam family "mir-544 microRNA precursor family". Lineage: Eukaryota; Metazoa; Chordata; Mammalia; Proboscidea; Elephantidae. The record is from Rfam by way of RNAcentral.
AUCACUUUGGGAUUUUGUUAAAACGAAGAUUCUCAUUUGGUAAAGCUAGGAUGAGGUUGGAGAUUCUUCAUUUCUAGCAAGCUCCUAGGUGAUCGUAC